UGGACGUGUCAGCGGAUGGGUCUAUGAAAGAUGAGGUGAAUCAUAGAAUUGAUGAGGGAAAAAGAGUGAGUGGUGCACUUAGGAGUCUGUGGAGACAAAGAACUUUGUCCUUGGAGGCAAAGAGGGGAAUGUAUGAGAGUAUAGUUUUACCAACGCUCUUAUAUGGGUGUGAAGCGUGGGUGAUGAAUGUUGCAGCGAGGAGAAGGCUGGAGGCAGUGGAGAUGUCAUGUCUGAGGGCAAUGUGUGGUGUGAAUAUAAUGCAGAGAAUUCGUAGUUUGGAAGUUAGGAGGAGGUGCGGGAUUACCAAAACUGUUGUCCAGAGGGCUGAGGAAGGGUUGUUGAGGUGGUUCGGACAUGUAGAGAGAAUGGAGCGAAACAGAAUGACUUCAAGAGUGUAUCAGUCUGUAGUGGAAGGAAGGCGGGGUAGGGGUCGGCCUAGGAAGGGUUGGAGGGAGGGGGUAAAGGAGGUUUUGUGUGCGAGGGGCUUGGACUUCCAGCAGGCAUGCGUGAGCGUGUUUGAUAGGAGUGAAUGGAGACAAAUGGUUUUUAAUACUUGACGUGCUGUUGGAGUGUGAGCAAAGUAACAUUUAUGAAGGGAUUCAGGGAAACCGGCAGGCCGGACUUGAGUCCUGGAGAUGGGAAGUACAGUGCCUGCACUCUGAAGGAGGGGUGUUAAUGUUGCAGUUUAAAAACUGUAGUGUAAAGCACCCUUCUGGCAAGACAGUGAUGGAGUGAAUGAUGGUGAAAGUUUUUCUUUUUCGGGCCACCCUGCCUUGGUGGGAAUCGGCCGGUGUGAUAAUAAAAAAAAAAAAAAAAAAAAAAUAUUUUGUAUCUAAGUUUUGUGAGUACUAAUAUAAACAAAUUUAUAAAUAAAGCUGGUAAUAUUUGUGAGAUUUUCACUAUGAGAAUAAAUAGUAUAAAAUACCGACACAAUGGAAACAUAAACACAUAUGCAGUUUAAUGUGAUCCUUUAUUGACAACAUUUCGCCCACACAGUGUGGGCGAAACAUUGUCAAUAAAGGAUCACAUUAAACUACAUAUGUGUUUAUGUUUCCAGAUUUUCACUACAAUUUUCCAGUUUUUCCUGACAUAUCCAUAUCAAUAUCCACAUUUUUUUUAACUCAACAACUCAAUUGUAGUCUUUCAUAAGUGUACUGAGUUCAGUCAGAUGACUCUAUGAGUGCGACAUCCCCUCCCCUCUCCUCCUCCAGAGUGCAAGUUAGUUAGUUAAAUAUCUUUAUUAUGCAGCCCAUACCCAUCCUGUGGGCAGUAGUCACCCUAUACCCAUCCUGUGGGCAGUAGUCACCCCAUACACAUCCUGUGGGCAGUAGUCACCCCAUACACAUCCUGUGGGCAGUAGUCACCCCAUACACAUCCUGUGGGCAGUAGUCACCCCAUACACAUCCUGUGGGCAGUAGUCGCCCCAUACACAUCCUGUGGGCAGUAGUCGCCCCAUACACAUCCUGUGGGCAGUAGUCAAAAGAUUACAGAGGCACAUAAUGGGUCCAGGGACUGGACUCCAAAGUUUUGAUAGCUGAACAAGUUAACAAAGGUAAUGAACUCCAGGUAGACCUGGUCACAAUCAUGACAAGUUACAAAGGUAAUGAACUCCAGGUAGACCUGGUCACAAUCAUGACAAGUUACAAAGGUGAAGAAUCAUCUACACUUCUAUUCAUGGUUACUCCUCUUCCCACCUCCAAGAUUCAAAAGACCAUAAGAAAGAAGAAGCAAUGCAACUCUUGGUCAUUUUUACCGCUUUCUCCCAUUGUAGUGUGACCAAAUUGUUUAAUACACACUGAUACCUUUAUCUUCUAUCUGUUUAAAGUCCCGGAGAACUCAACAACUGCCGCCUCAGAACACAGCUGACUAACACUACCACUUCUGCCCCAGAUUGAUGUACCUUAUUCCUUGCAUUAUCAUGUUUAUCAUAGAAAUUGUCCCAGUUGUCAAUAAAUGGGAUUGCAAUUUCUUUGCAGUACUUGUCUAGCCAGCAAUUUGCACCAACUGAUAUCCAUUCAUUCCGAGCCAGUGAGAGGGAAGGAGGUUUAGCCAGUCCAUUGGUAAGUAAGUUUAUUCAGGUAUACACAAACACAGGUACAUAGAUUAUCAUACAUAGCAGCAUAUGGGUAGAGAACCUGGGAUACCUGGAGUUUACCUGGAGAGAGUUCCAGGGGUCAACGCCCCCGCGGCCCGGUCUGUGACCAGGCCUCCUGGUGGAUCAGAGCCUGAUCAACCAGGCUGUUGCUGCUGGCUGCACGCAAACCAACGUACAAGCCACAGCCCGGCUGGUCAGGAACCGACUUUAGGUGCUUGUCCAGUGCCAGCUUGAAGACUGCCAGGGGUCUGUUGGUAAUCCCCCUUAUGUAUGCUGGGAGGCAGUUGAACAGUCUCGGGCCCCUGACACUUAUUGUAAGUCAGACAGACUGACUUAUUUCCAUUGGGCUCCAGAGCCCAGCUGUGAAUCUGUUAGUUUGAGAAUAUUAUUGACAAUUCCAGUGACAGUAGUGUGAGCAGAAAGAUCUUUAAGUAAACUUAAACAUAUCAAAAACUUAUUAAAGUCUAAUAUGUCUCAAAGUUGACUUAGUGAUUUAUCAAGAUUGAGUAUUGAGUCAAACAUUGCCAGAGAAAUUGAUUUUGAUAAUGUUAUUACAAACUUUGCAGAUAAAAAAGCCAGAAAAGCUCAUUUCACUAAGUCGUCUAAGUAAAUAUUAAACACUUAUUUUACUUUGAAAGAACUUAUUAAAUGUUUAAAAAUUUAGGCACUUGUAUAGUUAUUGGUGAACAAAAAUAUUCACAAUGUAUGAAGUAUACGUAUAAAGUAUGUGUUAUCUGGUCGUUCUGCUGUGCUUGAAAUAAAGUAUUUUUGAAAAUUUA
Cherax quadricarinatus is the source of this 2874-nucleotide non-coding RNA. NCBI's taxonomy places the organism in Eukaryota, Metazoa, Arthropoda, Malacostraca, Decapoda, Parastacidae. The record is from RefSeq and is a predicted model, not a curated record.